GGUAAAAUGGCUGAAAAUUAGGCGAUAAAUUGUAAAUUUAUUUAUGAGAGUUAUCUCUUUUACU
This 64-nucleotide transfer RNA is filed under the name Neoneuromus vanderweelei. RNAcentral's name for it is "tRNA-Tyr". Lineage: Eukaryota; Metazoa; Arthropoda; Insecta; Megaloptera; Corydalidae. The record is from RNAcentral.